AAUAUUUACUGUAUUAUCAAACAACUUGCAGAGUUCCACAUCUGCUGUUUCUCAGAGCUGUUACUUACCCCAGUUUUAUCACAUAGACGUAAAGUAUGGAAAGAUCCCACAGCAAAUAAUUCUCCAUCCCCAGACCAGGCAACAGAUGUUAUUGGAUACUCAUGGGGCUGUGAGCUGUACAGUAGAUGCCCGUAACUGUCCCAAACCUUAUAUUUACAGUCUUCGCCUGCAGAAAGGAUAAGUUCAUUCACUGAGUUCCAGUCAGUUUUUAAAAUAAGCCCAUCAUGGGCCUUCCACUGCAAAAGUUUAACGUUUGGUUGGAGAGGUUUAAUAAUGAGCUGCUUUCCUGAAGUAUAGAGAACCUUUUCAGAAUCAGGUCCCCAGGCCACUGAGUACACUGGCGUUCCUUGCUGAGCUAAAGUGGAUCUCAGCAUUCCACUUUUAGACCAGAUUUUCACUUGGCCAUCUUCACCAACUGUAGCCAACGCCGUUCCCUCGGAAUUCCACCUCCCUGCAAGCACGGCUCCGCUGUGGGCUUCCACGCUUUUCUCUACUCUUCCCACUUUAGAAAUUAAGUGGAAUUUCC
RNAcentral lists this long non-coding RNA (586 nucleotides) under Gallus gallus (chicken). The record is from RNAcentral. Lineage: Eukaryota; Metazoa; Chordata; Aves; Galliformes; Phasianidae.